Molecule: ribosomal RNA, 156 nt
Filed under: Salmonella enterica
Lineage: Bacteria; Pseudomonadati; Pseudomonadota; Gammaproteobacteria; Enterobacterales; Enterobacteriaceae
Description: partial 23S ribosomal RNA
Rfam family: Bacterial large subunit ribosomal RNA
Source: RNAcentral
GGUUAAGCGACUAAGCGUACACGGUGGAUGCCCUGGCAGUCAGAGGCGAUGAAGGGCGUGCUAAUCUGCGAUAAGCGCCGGUAAGGUGAUAUGAACCGUUAUAACCGGCGAUACCCGAAUGGGGAAACCCAGUGUGAUUCGUCACACUAUCAUUAA